GACGAACGCUGGCGGCGUGCUUAACACAUGCAAGUCGAACGGAAAGGCCCUGCUUUUGUGGGGUGCUCGAGUGGCGCACGGGUGAGUAACACGUGAGUAACCUGCCCUUGACUUUGGGAUAACUUCAGGAAACUGGGGCUAAUACCGGAUAUGAGCUACUGCUGCAUGGUGGGGGUUGGAAAGUUUCGGCGGUUGGGGAUGGACUCGCGGCUUAUCAGCUUGUUGGUGGGGUAGUGGCUUACGAAGGCUGUGACGGGUAGCCGGCCUGAGAGGGUGACCGGCGUCAUUGGGACUGAGAUACGGCGCAGUCGGCUACGGGAGGCAGUAGGGGGGAGUAUGGCACAAUGGGCGGAAGCCUGAUGCAGCAACGCCGCGUGCGGGAUGACGGCCUUCGGGUUGUAAACCGCUUUCGCCUGUGACGAAGCGUGAGUGACGGUAAUUGGUAAAGAAGCACCGGCUAACUACGUG
RNAcentral lists this ribosomal RNA (468 nucleotides) under uncultured bacterium. Its description in RNAcentral is "partial 16S ribosomal RNA". It matches the Rfam family "Bacterial small subunit ribosomal RNA", at positions 28 to 507 of the family's 1533-position model. The record is from RNAcentral.